Molecule: long non-coding RNA, 3139 nt
Filed under: Onthophagus taurus
Lineage: Eukaryota; Metazoa; Arthropoda; Insecta; Coleoptera; Scarabaeidae
Description: uncharacterized LOC111424581
Source: RNAcentral
UAAUGCGCUAUAUAUAAUUUCUUAUUUUCUAUAAAUAUCGUUGUUAUGAUAACCUUAACGGGAUAUCCGGUACAGCUAAAAAUAUAAAAUUUUAAAAAAGAAGACUAGAAAAGUAGCCCUCGGAAUGACACCGUGUUCGGCUCGUUGUUUAUGCAAAAGUAUGGACGACCGAAAAUCUAGCCCCCAAUAAGAAAAAAAUAAUUUGUAUUGAAUUGAUUAUAACUAGAGAACGGUUUGAUGGACUUUAAUGUUUUAUAUCUCUCUAUUAUGGCUGAGUAAUUCUGUGUAGAGUAUAUUGAACACUUCCAUAUCUGAAGCUGCUAGUUUUCCAUAUUUACAUAUAGAUAGAAUAAUCCUGCAAAAUAAUUUAAUAUAAAAUAGUAUUAUUUAAGUGUUUGCCUAACCUAUCCUUUGAUAUGGACUCCCUCCGCUGAUAGAAUGAGAGUCAUUCGGCUUGCACAUACAACAUAUUAAUCCUAAUAUUCCACGUGGAAAAUAACUAUGAUGCUCUGAUCUCAAUGAGAGUUAGUACUCAUGGAGGCAUUGUGGUUAGUGAGGCUUACAAACCCUCCAGCAUGCCUACGAAGUGUGUAUAUUUGCAUCAUGGUUAUUUUCCACGUGGAGCAAUGGGAUUGAUAUGUUGUAUGCGCAAGCCGAUUGACUCACCUUCUAUCAGCGGAACGAGCCCAUAUCAAAGGAUAGGUUCGGCAAACACUUAAAUAAUACUAUUUUAAUAUUAAAUUAUUUUGCACGAAUGUUCUACUUAUAUUUACAUAUGGUACACUAGCUCAAGAUACGGAAGUGUUCAAUAUAUUUUCUACGAAGAAUAAUAAUAAAAAUUCCUUAUGUAUGUAUAAAUAGAAUAUUCGUGCAAAAUAAUUUGAUAUUAAAAUAGUAUUAUUUAAGUGUUGGCCUAACCUACCAUUUAAAUGACUCCAUAUAUCUACCGACUGGAAGUCUGGCCCCCAAUUAUAAAAAAUUAAUUUUGAUUAAAUUCGCUAUAACUAAAGAACGGUUUGACCGAUUUUAAUGUUUUAUAUCCCAAACGAAAGCUUGUAUCUGGCUGAAUAAUUCUUUGUAAAGUAUAUUGAACACUUACAUAUAAUAAUAAUAAUGCUUUAAAAUUUUAAAAUAAACUAUUCCCCUGUGAAAAAUGAUCCUAUUAUACAUAUUUAGCCACCCACACUCUUUUAAAUUAUGCGAGAUUUUGCAGUACUUUCGUAUUCCAUAAAUUAGUCUUAAACACCCAUUUUGGACGUACUGCACCCGUUUUCGUUUGUCCUUAAUUAUGCAAGCAGCAUAGACCGAGUCACAGUGAUGAAAAUUGGAUAAAAUCAAAGAAUCAGUCAGUAAUCUUUUACUGUUCUCAUUUAAUACUUGCCGAUAUGGAUAAAGGGAUUUUCAUACGCAAUAUGAUUUCUGUACUAGCUUAUUUAUUUGUGAAUUAAAUUUCAAAUCAUCAUCUAUUAACAAACCCAAAUUUUUCACAGUGCACACGUGCUGUAGUUCUUGAUUAUUUACACAAAUUUUAAGAUUGUCAUUAAUAAAUUUCAUACGAUUUUUGUUACCAAAUACUAUCACAUUAGAUUUGCUGGAGUUUACUUUUAGGCCAUGCCACUCAGAAAUGUCAACAAGUGAUUGCACAUCAGAAUUUAUUUUGACAGCAGCAACAUUAGUCUCGGUGUGAGGAAAUGAUAUUAAUAACUGAUCAUCAUCUGCAUAAGCAUGGUAUUUACAAUGCUUCAAGUCCGUAUAGAACAUACUAGUAUAAAUGAUGAAUAAUAAAGGACCACAUAUACUACCCUGAGGAACUCCUUUAGAGACAAACAAAUGCUUUGGAAUAACACUCCGCAACACACCGUCCACAACAUCCAUUAGUACAGUAUUGCAACUAUGACCCGGUCUAAAAACUGACUGGUUGUCAGGUAAAAUGCUUAUAGGUCUAAAAUCAGUAUAGCAGUUGAGGAGAGUUAAUUUUUGGCUAUGGAGUGACUACAGAAAUCUUCCAACAGUCAGGGAAAACGGCUUCCAAGAGACGUGUAUUAAUGAUAUGCGUAAUCAUAUCUAAUAAGAAUGGACACGACAUUUUUAUUGUAUUUAUGCCAAGAAGAUCGCUUCCAACGGUAUUGGAGUGAAUAUAUGAUAUAACUUUAGCCACUUCACCCGGUGCCGGUGUUGUAUGAAAAGGAAACAAUUGUUUAAAAUUUCGUAACGUAGUGUUGUUAUAAUAUUGUAAUAAAUCAUGAUCAAUGUUAUUAUUUGAAUUGUUCAAGAAAUAAUCAUUGAAUUAAUCUGCAUCAGAAAAACGUUCAGGGACUUAUUAUAUGUUUUCCAUAAAUCUUAAGCUGCUAGUUUUCCAUAUGUACAUACACUGAGGGAAAUAGAUUGUACGAAUCGUAUUAUAGAAAAAAUAUUAUACAUGCAGCAAUUCAUUGUAUUAUAUUCAUUAUAUUUAUUGUACUGAAUACAAUCUCGUCUCGCUGUCACUAUUCAUAAUAAACGUAUUAUACCUUAUAGUAUAUUUUUAGUGCAUAGUACAAUCCAUUUCUCUCAGUGUAUGAAUAUUCGUGCAAAAUAAUUUGAUAUUAAAAUAGGACCAUUUAAGUAUUUGCUUAACCUAUCCCUUGAUAUGGGGUCCCGCCGCUGAUAGAAUGAGAGUCAUUCGGCUUGCGCAUACAACAUAUCAAAUCCUAUUAUUCCACGUGGAAAAUAACCAUGAUGCUCUGAUCUCAAUGAGAGUUAGUACUUUCAUGGAGGCAUUGUCGUUAGCGAGGCUUACAAACCCUCCAGCAUGCCUAUGAAGUGGGUAUAUUUGCAUCUUGGUUAUUUUCCACGUGGAACAAUAGGAUUGAUAUGUUGUAUGUGCAAGCCGAAUGACUCUCAUUCUGUCAGCAGACGGAGCCCAUAUCAAAGGAUAGGUUCGGCAAACACUUAAAUAAUACUAUUUCAAUAUUAAAUUAUUUUGCACGAAUGUUCUAUUUAUGUGUACAUACAUAUGGAAAAUCUGGAUACGUAAAUCGAUAAAGCGUACUUACAUGUUAAUUAAAAUAUUUGAACUGUAAUAAUAAUCAUAAUAAAUGCCUCUUAUUAAAUUCAUGUAAUUUAUGGUUUUUAAAUUAAUAAAUAAUCUCUAAACAUC